GACGAACGCUGGCAGCGUGCUUAACACAUGCAAGUCGAACGGUAAGGCCCUUCGGGGUACACGAGUGGCGAACGGGUGAGUAACACGCGGGUGAUCUGCCCUGCACUUCGGGAUAAGCCUGGGAAACUGGGUCUAAUACCGGAUAGGACCACUGCCUGCAUGGGUGGUGGUGGCAAGCUUUUGCGGUGUGGGAUGGGCCCGCGGCCUGUCAGCUUUUUGGUGGGGUGAUGGCCUACCAAGGCGACGACGGGUAGCCGGCCGGAGAGGGUGACCGGCAACACUGGGACUGAGAUACGGCCCAGACUCCUACGGGAGGCAGCAGUGGGGAAUAUUGCACAAUGGGCGCAAGCCUGAUGCAGCGACGCCGCGUGAGGGAUGACGGCCUUCGGGUUGUAAACCUCUUUCAGCACCGACGAAGCGCAAGUGACGGUAGGUGCAGAAGAAGGACCGGCCAACUACGUGCCAGCAGCCGCCGUAA
RNAcentral lists this ribosomal RNA (478 nucleotides) under uncultured bacterium. RNAcentral describes it as "partial 16S ribosomal RNA". It matches the Rfam family "Bacterial small subunit ribosomal RNA", at positions 28 to 523 of the family's 1533-position model. The record is from RNAcentral.